Molecule: ribosomal RNA, 462 nt
Filed under: Streptococcus australis
Lineage: Bacteria; Bacillati; Bacillota; Bacilli; Lactobacillales; Streptococcaceae
Description: bacterial SSU rRNA
Rfam family: Bacterial small subunit ribosomal RNA
Source: RNAcentral
GAUGAACGCUGGCGGCGUGCCUAAUACAUGCAACUAGAACGCUGAAGGAGGAGCUUGCUCUUCUGGAUGAGUUGCGAACGGGUGAGUAACGCGUAGGUAACCUGCCUGGUAGCGGGGGAUAACUAUUGGAAACGAUAGCUAAUACCGCAUAACAGUAGAUAUUGCAUGAUAUCUGCUUGAAAGGUGCAAUUGCAUCACUACCAGAUGGACCUGCGUUGUAUUAGCUAGUUGGUGAGGUAACGGCUCACCAAGGCGACGAUACAUAGCCGACCUGAGAGGGUGAUCGGCCACACUGGGACUGAGACACGGCCCAGACUCCUACGGGAGGCAGCAGUAGGGAAUCUUCGGCAAUGGACGGAAGUCUGACCGAGCAACGCCGCGUGAGUGAAGAAGGUUUUCGGAUCGUAAAGCUCUGUUGUAAGAGAAGAACGAGUGUGAGAGUGGAAAGUUCACACUGUGACG